UUUGUUUUUCAUUCCCCAAGUUCCUUAAUGCCCCUCAUGGAGUUUGUAUUCCAAUUCAGGUCCAUGCGCUUUGCCAUCACUGAGAGGUUAUGGUUUGUUUUUUACCUUUUGUUUCAAAAACAUCUGUGUCUUUGCCAAUAUUGUCCUUUCUUGGAAGAAGCCAAAACAAAAUCACUUUUCCAUGCAAAAUGUCGGAAGGUCAUAUUCUUUCUCAUCCUGUGCACUGGUUAACAACUCAUCCCAGGGUUAGAUACCCAACCGGGAAUACUGUUGGCCAGACUAUGUUUACCCCGCCGUUAACAGGUCUAAUUGGACCACAUCUCAG
Molecule: long non-coding RNA, 325 nt
Organism: Haliotis rubra (blacklip abalone)
Lineage: Eukaryota; Metazoa; Mollusca; Gastropoda; Lepetellida; Haliotidae
Exons: 3
Source: RefSeq, a predicted model, not a curated record